Pelodiscus sinensis (Chinese soft-shelled turtle) is the source of this 982-nucleotide non-coding RNA. The record is from RefSeq and is a predicted model, not a curated record. NCBI's taxonomy places the organism in Eukaryota, Metazoa, Chordata, Testudines, Trionychidae.
UGGCCUUGCAGCGCUCGCAGGGUGCCCUUAGCUCCGCCCACCGAGGCACACUGGGGAUGAGCCUCCCGCUGCAGGGGCUGCUGGCAGCAUGUUGUUCCCAGGGGGCUGCCUACACACGUGACACUUCCCCUCCCUGUAUGCCUGGCAGUUAUUUACAUCUCUACUAGCCACUGUGGAGUUGCACUCCCACCCCCUUUUCAGUGUCCUCCAUAAUGUUUGUGUGUCCUUCCUUUGGGGGUUUUGUCACAUGUUAGCUUGAAACUCACAUGGAGCCCAGCACUGGCAAGAUAAUUGGCCUGCACAACAUACGGCCUGAGGGCUGCAUGCCGCCCGCAGGGGCUCACUGUGUGGCCCGUGCCGACUAUGGGCGGUGUGGCCCCAUCCGAUCCGCUGGCUGGGCGGAGGAGUGGAGCGCCACCAGGAAGGGGGAAGUGCGUCCGGACUUCCUGUAUGCAGCUCUGGCACGAGGAGGCGGGGUACGAGCCAGAGGGCGGGACAGCGGCAGACGCCAGGAUGCUGGCGUGACGUGGCGUUGUGACGUCACGGCCGGCGACAGCCAGAUUCAAAAAGGCCCCGGCAGCAUCGCAAACUGGAAGGCAGAAGCCAGGGAUUUCCAUGAAGCCUCUGGUUCCAAGCACUGUCUGAGAGGACCUCAUACUAGAUGGACACUAAUCUGAUCAAGGAUGACAGCUCCUAUGCACCUGAAGCUACAUACUGACAUUGUGAUAUAAAGCCUCUGGGAAUUUUGGUUGAAUGCUUCGAUGAAAGCACCAGCUUUCAGAUAUGUCAGAGUGCACACUGAGUACUGGACAAACAAUCUUUGACAUCUUUAUGGACUAACUAAAAAGGCUCUGUGCUCCUCAAGCUAAGUUUGUUGCUUUUUCCACUGUCAAUGUACCUUCUAAUGUUGUUGUCCAAACUAAGAAAUAUGUGCUGCCUCUAUUAUUUGGCAGAUACCUGCAACAAGUUUGGGAUUAAGGGU